RNAcentral lists this ribosomal RNA (494 nucleotides) under Veillonella atypica. Its description in RNAcentral is "bacterial SSU rRNA". It matches the Rfam family "Bacterial small subunit ribosomal RNA", at positions 28 to 492 of the family's 1533-position model. Lineage: Bacteria; Bacillati; Bacillota; Negativicutes; Veillonellales; Veillonellaceae. The record is from RNAcentral.
GACGAACGCUGGCGGCGUGCUUAACACAUGCAAGUCGAACGAAGAGCGAUGGAAGCUUGCUUCUAUCAAUCUUAGUGGCGAACGGGUGAGUAACGCGUAAUCAACCUGCCCUUCAGAGGGGGACAACAGUUAGAAACGACUGCUAAUACCGCAUACGAUCCAAUCUCGGCAUCGAGACUGGAUGAAAGGUGGCCUCUAUUUAUAAGCUAUCACUGAAGGAGGGGAUUGCGUCUGAUUAGCUAGUUGGAGGGGUAAAGGCCCACCAAGGCGAUGAUCAGUAGCCGGUCUGAGAGGAUGAACGGCCACAUUGGGACUGAGACACGGCCCAGACUCCUACGGGAGGCAGCAGUGGGGAAUCUUCCGCAAUGGACGAAAGUCUGACGGAGCAACGCCGCGUGAGUGAUGACGGCCUUCGGGUUGUAAAGCUCUGUUAAUCGGGACGAAUGGUUCUUGUGCGAAUAGUGCGAGGAUUUGACGUACCGGAAUAGAAAGCC